Molecule: ribosomal RNA, 495 nt
Filed under: Staphylococcus aureus
Lineage: Bacteria; Bacillati; Bacillota; Bacilli; Caryophanales; Staphylococcaceae
Description: bacterial SSU rRNA
Rfam family: Bacterial small subunit ribosomal RNA
Source: RNAcentral
CGGGUGAGUAACACGUGGAUAACCUACCUAUAAGACUGGGAUAACUUCGGGAAACCGGAGCUAAUACCGGAUAAUAUUUUGAACCGCAUGGUUCAAAAGUGAAAGACGGUCUUGCUGUCACUUAUAGAUGGAUCCGCGCUGCAUUAGCUAGUUGGUAAGGUAACGGCUUACCAAGGCAACGAUGCAUAGCCGACCUGAGAGGGUGAUCGGCCACACUGGAACUGAGACACGGUCCAGACUCCUACGGGAGGCAGCAGUAGGGAAUCUUCCGCAAUGGGCGAAAGCCUGACGGAGCAACGCCGCGUGAGUGAUGAAGGUCUUCGGAUCGUAAAACUCUGUUAUUAGGGAAGAACAUAUGUGUAAGUAACUGUGCACAUCUUGACGGUACCUAAUCAGAAAGCCACGGCUAACUACGUGCCAGCAGCCGCGGUAAUACGUAGGUGGCAAGCGUUAUCCGGAAUUAUUGGGCGUAAAGCGCGCGUAGGCGGUUUUUUA